CCAAAGCAGCAGACCUCUGCUGAGAAGACAAGCAAUACUGCAGCGCUCUGCAACAAGAUUUGAGGGCUUGGGAUGUGACCUUUGGGUAUCUCAACAUGAACAAAUAUUAGCACCCGUUUGGAACGUGAGGGAAGAUUAGCAGGACUCUCUACAGAAGCCAGCUUGGACAGACUUAAUAGCAGGAUUUGUCACCAAAGCAGUUCAUACAGUGGCUUCCUGGAUCCUAUGACAGUAAACGUUUGGAGAGUACAAAAUCAGACUCUGUCUCCUCCUAUACUGGUUUUUCAGACAUCUCUGCAUCUGAGCCAUGUGAAGUGAUUUCCUGCCUUUCUGAUGACAACGACUGCUGCUACUGUCAGAAAAUAACCUGAAUAUAAAUACUAGGAAUAAAGAAUAUUCUUUUCACCUUUUCACCUUUAAAAUGCAUUUAAUUUUAUUUACCAAAAAUACAUGAUGCUCUAGUGUAAUUUAAAAAUUCAAAUAAUUUGUCUUAAAGUGCAUUUUAGUGAAACUCAAUGAUGCUUGAAAUGUCACCAAUGUAAAUAACUUUUUGAAGGCAAAUCCAAAGAGACUCAUUUUACCUCUAAAAAACCUUAAAUGUACAUGGAAACCAUCUGUGUUUUGUCAAAGAUAUUAAAGUACAUUUUCUUGUACUGAUUGUUCAUCAUCUGUGAACAAUUCUGCUUUGAACUGCUUUGGAUAAUGGAAUGAGGAACUUUUAAAACUCAGGACAAGAAAAUUCUUUACCCUUUUUAGCAGAAGCAAAUACUUUUCUUCUAAACAUUUGUAAAGUGUCUGUUCUGAGUAUCUACUUUUUAACAUUGUUUUGCUUUCAUUUGUUCCUUUCUGAGGACUUCAGAAACCAGGUUCCUCAUAAAGUAUUUGGGAGCCUUUGGUACUUAUUUCCUUCCUUCCUUCCUUCCUUCCUUCCUUCCUUCCUUCCUUCCUUCCUGCCUGCCUUCCUGCCUUCCUCCUCCCCUCUCUCCCUCCCUAUUUGGAUUACAGCUAUUUUGAUGAAAGGUCCCACAUUGAAACUUAUGUCUAUUUCCCAAGCAGCCAAAUUAAGUGCAUUUCAGCUAUUUCUCCCUGAACCUUCUCUAGGCUGACCAGCCCCAGCUCUUUCAGGGCCUCCUGAGCUCAGAUGUCAGAUAAUCAAGUCCCCUAGUCAUAUUCAUGGUCCUUCACUGAACUGCCUUCAGCAUGUCCGGAUCUCUCCUGCAUUGGGAAGCCUGGGCAUGGACCAAGAAAUCCAAAUGUGUUCUCAGCAUGGCUGAGCAGAGGGGAGGAUCAUCUCCUUUGACCUGCUGGAAAUGCUUUUCCUAAGGUGACACGAGAAAUCACCGACUUUCUUUGUGAUGGGACACAUUGCAUGCUCAUGUGAUAUUUUCAAACUAUUGCUUCAGAUCUGAUUGCCUCUCAUUUCUUCUACCCCAGAUGCUGUUGGUGUUUUAGGUUUUUUCUUCUCCUGACUUUAUAUAAAUUAUAAUUGUUAAAAACAUAUUUUCAUAGUAUUUUUCCUAUUAAUUGUAAUAUUUAAUUUUUUUCCUGAAUAUAAUCAAAGGAAUAACACACAGAAACAAAAUAGGUCAUCAACGUGAACUAAAUUACAGCACUCAUUGCUUUGACAUGUCCCUUUACAUAUGCAUUUCUGCUACCUUACUGUUAAUAGUGUUCCUAUUUCUACCAUAAACUUACAAAGUCUAUCUGUGGGACUUCAAAGACUGCUUCUUUCCUGUAUUUUGAAGACCAUGUAACAAGGGAAAUAAAAAUGCCCUUUUUUUUUGCCUGCAGUAGAAUACUCUUUCUUUAGGAAAAAAUUAUUGAAAAUUCUGUUACUGCCUUGUGAAAAAUCAAGGACGUUUCAAGAAUUUUUAUAUAAGGAGUCAUAUAAAGAUCUUUUUCAAAAACUUUUAGGGAGUCAUUUAAACAUAGGUACAGUUUUUGUUUUCCCUCAUAUAAAAUUCUUACAUCAGACUUAAAAAGAAUCUGGGUACGAAAAAGGAGCAGAAUCUGAAAAUGAGUGGAUAUAUCUUUUUUUUUUUCCUUUAUUUUUAAUUGUAUGGCUGCUAAGAGGCUCUUUUUUCAUUUGUAAACAACAGUUAAUCUGUGACAUCUGUGGGAACCAAUGUAUUGUAUAAUUUAAGCAAACUUUGCAUUCGUAAUAAAAAUGUUCCCCUCCUCAGGGUUAUUUGAUCUAUAAAACUGGGUGAGUUAUAUAUUCUGCUAAUUUGUUUUACUAACCACUACAGAAUAUGUGCCAUCAUGUUGUGAUAUUUACUAGAAAGUGAGUUGAAAAAUAAAUGAAAAAAACUCUGCUAUUAAAU
Corvus hawaiiensis (hawaiian crow) is the source of this 2324-nucleotide long non-coding RNA. RefSeq lists it as uncharacterized. The transcript has 3 exons. Lineage: Eukaryota; Metazoa; Chordata; Aves; Passeriformes; Corvidae. The record is from RefSeq and is a predicted model, not a curated record.